GGAGCUGCCACUGCAGAGACGCUGGCUUAGGGGGCUGGGGGAUGCCUCCUUUGAAUUCUGGGCCCACCACUGACAACACUUCUCUUCUUGGAGAAAAGAUGACGAGAAGGAGAGGUCUUAGAACACAUCCUUAUCUGAAGGACAGGAUACAGUCUUGUUUUAGGAAACUCCAGCUGCUCUGUGUCAUUGAAAGGGAAGAGGAGAGACCAGAUGGUCCAAGUUCGCCAUGGCACUGGUAAGGACCUGAGACUGACUGCAGGCCCUUCAUGAAAGCAAAGCCUGGGUGUGUUAUAACCGCCAGUCCCACUCUCCCACAGUGAGGUCCAUCCCGGCAGGGGCUGAGUCCACCUUGACCACUGAGACAAACAGACCUGGUGAUGGACUCAGUGUUUUUAAAUUGUGGAGCUUGGACAGGGAGGGGCGAGAUGGAGAACGAGGUAUACACAAAAGAGAACAAUGUGAUGAGGGCAUGAAGUGUGCUUACCAACCUUCCCUCACUCAGAGGCUGGAAGAGAUUUUAGAGCUUAACAGAAAAAGAGUGGGAAGAGGACACUGCUGGGCAAAAGACAUGAACUAAAGACUUCUCGGCUGUCCCCAUCAGUGGCACGGUGGUCUCAGCAGUACCGAUGUGGAUACUCAAGAACGUGAGGCUACCGUGGAAAUGCUUUGCUUAAACCACACGUUGAGUUUCCAAGGAGUGAAGAUCCCCAGGGAAAGCAUCUAGGACCCUGCCAUGUUGGCCCAGCUCUGGGAAGUCAAUCGACGUGGACCCCUUACUGUGUUAACUGCUAAUCAGCCUUCUGUAAAAAUGAUAUUGCAAAUUCA
Molecule: long non-coding RNA, 825 nt
Filed under: Homo sapiens (human)
Lineage: Eukaryota; Metazoa; Chordata; Mammalia; Primates; Hominidae
Description: PKP4 antisense RNA 1
Source: RNAcentral